AACAAAAACAUGUCUUUUUGAAUUAAAUUUAAAGUCUAACCUGCCCNCUGAAAUUUUUUAAAUGGCCGCAGUAUUCUAACUGUGCAAAGGUAGCAUAAUCAUUAGUCUUUUAAUUGAAGGCUGGAAUGAAUGGUUGGACGAAAUAUUAACUGUUUCAUUUAAAUUUUUAUAGAAUUUUAUUUUUUAGUCAAAAAGCUAAAAUUUAUUUAAAAGACGAGAAGACCCUAUAAAUCUUUAUAUUUUGUUUGUUUUAAUUAUAAAGAUUAUUUGUGUUAUAACAAAUUAAAAUAUUUUAUUGGGGUGAUAUUAAAAUUUAAAAAACUUUUAAUUUUUAAAACCAUUAAUUUAUGUAUAAUUGAUCCAUUAAUAAUGAUUAAAAAUUUAAGUUACUUUAGGGAUAACAGCGUAAUUUUUUUGGAGAGUUCAUAUCGAUAAAAAAGAUUGCGACCUCGAUGUUGGAUUAAGAAAUAAUUUUGGGUGUAGCCGUUCAAAUUUUAAGUCUGUUCGACUUUUAAAUUCUUACGUGAUCUGAGUUCAAACCGGA
Molecule: ribosomal RNA, 544 nt
Filed under: Scaptomyza abrupta
Lineage: Eukaryota; Metazoa; Arthropoda; Insecta; Diptera; Drosophilidae
Description: partial 16S ribosomal RNA
Rfam family: Bacterial large subunit ribosomal RNA
Source: RNAcentral